This 253-nucleotide ribosomal RNA is filed under the name uncultured bacterium. RNAcentral describes it as "partial 16S ribosomal RNA". It matches the Rfam family "Bacterial small subunit ribosomal RNA", at positions 524 to 776 of the family's 1533-position model. The record is from RNAcentral.
UACGUAGGGGGCAAGCGUUGUCCGGAUUUAUUGGGCGUAAAGAGCGUGUAGGCGGCCAUGCAGGUCCGUUGUGAAAACUCGGGGCUCAACCCCGAGCCUGCAGUCGAUACGGGCGGGCUAGAGUCCGGCAGGGGAGACUGGAAUUCCUGGUGUAGCGGUGAAAUGCGCAGAUAUCAGGAGGAACACCGGUGGCGAAGGCGGGUCUCUGGGCCGGAACUGACGCUGAGGAGCGAAAGCGUGGGGAGCGAACAGG